This is a non-coding RNA of Acanthosepion pharaonis, 96 nucleotides long. NCBI's taxonomy places the organism in Eukaryota, Metazoa, Mollusca, Cephalopoda, Sepiida, Sepiidae. The record is from the annotation of a GenBank genome assembly.
CCACAUUACGUUUAAACAACAGUUCCCGUACGAUCAUCGAAGUUAAGCAACGUCGGUCCUGGUCAGUAGUUACAUGUGUAACCCCUUGGGAAUGUA